AAGAAGGCCUUUUGGUUGUAAAGCACUUUAAGCGAGGAGGAGGCGCUCUAGGAUAAUACCCUAGAUGCGUGGACGUUACUCGCAGAAUAAGCACCGGCUAACUCUGUGCCAGCAGCCGCGGUAAUACAGAGGGUGCGAGCGUUAAUCGGAUUUACUGGGCGUAAAGCGCGCGUAGGUGGCUAAUUAAGUCAAAUGUGAAAUCCCCGAGCUUAACUUGGGAAUUGCAUUCGAUACUGGUUAGCUAGAGUAUGGGAGAGGAUGGUAGAAUUCCAGGUGUAGCGGUGAAAUGCGUAGAGAUCUGGAGGAAUACCGAUGGCGAAGGCAGCCAUCUGGCCUAAUACUGACACUGAGGUGCGAAAGCAUGGGGAGCAAACAGGAUUAGAUACCCUGGUAGUCCAUGCCGUAAACGAUGUCUACUAGCCGUUGGGGCCUUUGAGGCUUUAGUGGCGCAGCUAACGCGAUAAGUAGACCGCCUGGGGAGUACGGUCGCAAGACUAAAACUCA
RNAcentral lists this ribosomal RNA (504 nucleotides) under Acinetobacter sp. M6. Its description in RNAcentral is "bacterial SSU rRNA". It matches the Rfam family "Bacterial small subunit ribosomal RNA", at positions 408 to 903 of the family's 1533-position model. Lineage: Bacteria; Pseudomonadati; Pseudomonadota; Gammaproteobacteria; Moraxellales; Moraxellaceae. The record is from RNAcentral.